UACGGGGGGAGCAAGCGUUGUUCGGAUUUACUGGGCGUAAAGGGCGCGUAGGCGGUCGUGACAAGUCACUUGUGAAAUCUCCGGGCUUAACUCGGAACGGUCAAGUGAUACUGUCGGACUAGAGUACAGAAGGGGCAACUGGAAUUCUCGGUGUAGCGGUGAAAUGCGUAGAUAUCGAGAGGAACACCUGCGGCGAAGGCGGGUUGCUGGGCUGACACUGACGCUGAUGCGACGAAAGCGGUGGGGAGCAAACAGG
This 256-nucleotide ribosomal RNA is filed under the name uncultured bacterium. RNAcentral's name for it is "partial 16S ribosomal RNA". It matches the Rfam family "Bacterial small subunit ribosomal RNA", at positions 524 to 776 of the family's 1533-position model. The record is from RNAcentral.